CUGCGCCACGAGUGGUGGUCGCGUUUAUUGGGCCUAAAGCGUCCGUAGCCGGAUUGAUAACUCUUUUGUGAAAUUGUUGGUCUUAAGCUAACAACGCGCAGAAGAAACUGUUAAUCUUGGGACCGGAGAGAAGUCAGAAGUAUGGUGGGGGGAGCGGUAAAAUGCUAUAAUCCCCAUUGGACUACCUGUGGCGAAGGCGUCUGACUAGAACGGAUCUGACGGUGAGGGACGAAAGCUAGGGGAGCAAUCCGGAUUAGAUACCCGAGUAGUCC
This 272-nucleotide ribosomal RNA is filed under the name uncultured archaeon. RNAcentral's name for it is "partial 16S ribosomal RNA". It matches the Rfam family "Archaeal small subunit ribosomal RNA", at positions 477 to 747 of the family's 1478-position model. The record is from RNAcentral.